CAGCAGCCGCGGUAAUACAGAGGGUGCGAGCGUUAAUCUGAUUUACUGGGCGUAAAGCGUGCGUAGGCGGCUUCUUAAGUCGGAUGUGAAAUCCCUGAGCUUAACUUAGGAAUUGCAUUCGAUACUGGGAAGCUAGAGUAUGGGAGAGGAUGGUAGAAUUCCAGGUGUAGCGGUGAAAUGCGUAGAGAUCUGGAGGAAUACCGAUGGCGAAGGCAGCCAUCUGGCCUAAUACUGACGCUGAGGUACGAAAGCAUGGGGAGCAAACAGGAUUAGAUACCCCCGUAGUCCCUGUCUCUUAUAA
This 301-nucleotide ribosomal RNA is filed under the name uncultured bacterium. RNAcentral's name for it is "partial 16S ribosomal RNA". It matches the Rfam family "Bacterial small subunit ribosomal RNA", at positions 509 to 809 of the family's 1533-position model. The record is from RNAcentral.